Molecule: long non-coding RNA, 1060 nt
Filed under: Zonotrichia albicollis (white-throated sparrow)
Lineage: Eukaryota; Metazoa; Chordata; Aves; Passeriformes; Passerellidae
Description: lncRNA (ENSZALG00000010323.1)
Source: RNAcentral
GAGCAGUCACACAACAUAAAACUCCCUGACAGUUAAUCAUACAUUACCUAGUUCUUGUUGGCCUUCUGCCAUGCCUCUUUUUUUCUUCACUGGGUUAUUUUAGGACUACAGGAACCUAUGUUUCCCUCUAAUUAGAUCUCUGUAGCCAGGUGCUCUGGAAGUCCUUGGACAUCAAAAGAUGGAAGAGUGGAGGAAACACAGUUGGGGAGCUUCUGACAGACAGACUACAUAUUGAUGCUGAAAAGACAACAAUCAUGUGAACAUCUAGGACACAGAAUAGCAGCCAGAGAAUGGCAGAGGGAAAAAAUAUCCUCUAAUAUUAAUUUUAUUCUAUGGAUUCUAUCUAGAGUAGUUGUUACGAAUCUAAAGCUUAGAUUCAGAGAAACAGAGCCCACUGCACACUGGGAACCAGCAGUGAGAAACAUCAGUGAAAAGCAAACAGUGGUUGGAGGGACAUGAAAGAGAUUUACAAAUAUUCAGAUGAACUUGAAUGUCACAGAGAGAGCAACAAGAAUUAUUCCAGAAUAUGAGCAGAUUCGCUUCACCAGAUCUUUUGGACUCCUGCACGAUCUUGAGUAUGCUCACUCCUACUGCAGCUCAAUUGUUGCAAACAAACAUCACCAAAAUAUUUUGAGGGAAGUAUGCAGAUGUUUUGCAAGGAGCAUGAUAUACUGUCCAUGGGGGAAACAACCUCAAGGUUUUGUCUGGAACCCUAAUGGUUUGGCUAAAACACUUCUUCUGGGAGAGAAUCCAGGACUCAUGGAAGAUUGAGCAUACAGCUGAGACUCAAUUUCCUGACUGCCUCCUCAGAACAAAGCAACAAAUGGAAAAGUUUAUUCCAAACAGUGAGGCUACCUCCUCUUUGGAUUACCUCUCCUCUUUGGAUUCCUCUGCAACUCUACAGCAGUAUCUUAAGAACCAAAAUUCUGGAAUCAGUGCUUCUGGUACCCCAACCAUGCUAAACCCUCUUCAUUCAUCUGGUUCUCACAGUCAUAAAAAACUCUGUGUCUUUCCUAUAUCAGCCUCUUGAAACAAAUAAAAGCGAACCAAAGUAAAACCA